Long non-coding RNA from Vidua macroura (Pin-tailed whydah), 1549 nucleotides. RefSeq lists it as uncharacterized. NCBI's taxonomy places the organism in Eukaryota, Metazoa, Chordata, Aves, Passeriformes, Viduidae. The transcript has 2 exons. The record is from RefSeq and is a predicted model, not a curated record.
ACCUCCACAGCCCAAAUGUGGGAUUUCUGGGUGGAAUUUCCAAGGAAUUCACUCGCACAGGGUUGAAGCAGGUUGCACCCCACAGCUGUGUUUGCUGCCCAGCAGAAGCACCUGAAUUUCAGGAUAAUUUUCCCCUUCCCCCAGAAGAACUGUCUGGAAGGAGAGAACAGGGAAAGGCAGGUCCUGCACCUGGGGAGGAACAACCAGCACAGGCUGGGGGCACCUGCUGGAGCAGCUCUGUGAGGAAGGACCUGGGGACAGCGAGAGUGACCUGGGGCCCAACGGGAUCCUGGGGGCAUCAGGAAGAGCAUUCCCAGCAGGGCUUUUUCUGGAGGUGAAGGAUUCUGAUGGAUCUGGGGCCAGGAAAAGGGAUGGAAAGGUAACACCCAAAGGACUUUGAGGACUUGUUCCUUAACUUUCAAGAUGCUUCCUGACCCAGAACCUGCCUGUCCGUGGGUUUAACAGGUCCAUGGGUUGGUCCAGCCCUGGACAGUCAUGGAUAACAGGGGUUGAUGGGGGUGGGAAAUGACUCUGCCUGACAGUGAGGGACAGAGAUGUCCCUGUGUGUUUCUGACCCCCUGCCCCAUGGCCCUGUCUUUGUGUUGGACAUAACAUUAAGGUAACAGGUUUCUUUCUUUUCAAUGGAUCCAUGGAAUGGAUUAAUGUCACCUAUUUUUCUUGAAAGAGUAGAAUUUAAUGUCUAAAGUGGAUUCUGGUCCAGAAAGUGCAGCUUUCAGUUUUGGGUUCCACAAUAUGGGACAGAUCUAAAGCUAUUGGAGAGCACUCAAAGGAGGCUGUGAAGAUGGUGGAGGCUCUUGAGGGGAAUCUGAGGCUGAGGGCACCUGGAAUGUUCAGCUGGAGCAGAGGACACUGAGGGCAGAGCUCCCCAGGAGCUGCAGCUCCUCCAGAGGGCAGCUCCCAUCUCUGCUCUGGGACAGGGACAGCACCCAGGGAACGGCUGGAGCUGGGCCAGGGCAGGCUCAGGCUGGAGAUCAGGGAAAGGCUCUUCUCCCAGAGGGUGCUGGCACUGCCCAGGCUCCCCAGGGAAUGGGCACGGCCCCGAGGCUGCCAGAGCUCCAGGAGCCUUUGGACAGCGCUGCCAGGGAUGCCCAGGGUGGGGUUGUUGGGGGUCUGGGCAGGGCUGGGGGCUGGGCUGGGUGAUCCUGUGUGUUCCAGCUCAGGAGAUUCCAUGAUUCUGUGACUCCAUGCCAUCCCAGGUGAGUGUGAUCCCUACUUAUUCUUCUUUUGUCCCCCCAAGUGUUUGUGUAAGGAAAGAAGGUUCUGGAGCGGGUGACCUCAGGCCAGGUUGUGUCCCCAUCACCUCAGUGUCACCCCCUGCCCUGAUCUGUGGCAGGAAGGACCUGGCAGAGAGCAAACAUUUGCAUCUUUCCUGAGUGCAUCACAUUUACCUCAAGCAACUUUUCUUUGACUAAUUGGAUCCAAGCAGAGAAAGAGUUCAAUAAUUCUCUUUUACCCUCAUGCCAGCAACUGGCAAAUUGCAGGAAAGAUGAGCCUGGAGCCAGAUGUUGGCCAGGAAAUAAAUUUGCCC